This 481-nucleotide ribosomal RNA is filed under the name uncultured bacterium. RNAcentral describes it as "partial 16S ribosomal RNA". It matches the Rfam family "Bacterial small subunit ribosomal RNA", at positions 30 to 506 of the family's 1533-position model. The record is from RNAcentral.
AUUGAACGCUGGCGGCAUGCUUUACACAUGCAAGUCGAACGGUAACAGGCCGCAAGGUGCUGACGAGUGGCGAACGGGUGAGUAAUGCAUCGGAACGUGCCCAGUCGUGGGGGAUAACUACUCGAAAGAGUAGCUAAUACCGCAUACGAGCUAUGGAUGAAAGCGGGGGACCGUAAGGCCUCGCGCGAUUGGGGCGGCCGAUGUCAGAUUAGGUAGUUGGUGGGGUAAAGGCUCACAAAGCCAACGAUCUGUAUCGGGUCUGAGAGGACGACCAGCCACACUGGGCCUGAGACACGGCCAAGACUCCUACGGGAGGCAGCAGUGGGGAAUUUUGGACAAUGGGCGAAAGCCUGAUCCAGCAAUGCCACGUGCAGGAAGAAGGCCUUCGGGUUGUAAACUGCUUUUGUACGGAACGAAACGGCUCUGGUUAAUACCCGGGGCUAAUGACGGUACCGUAAGAAUAAGCACCGGCUAACUACGU